This 1550-nucleotide unclassified non-coding RNA is filed under the name Hevea brasiliensis (rubber tree). Lineage: Eukaryota; Viridiplantae; Streptophyta; Magnoliopsida; Malpighiales; Euphorbiaceae. The record is from RNAcentral.
AAAAAAAAAAAACGUACAAAAAAAAAAAACAAAGAAAGCAGCCCCCGCCAAUUUCAUUCUGCAAAAACAAAAGACUGACUGACCCCAGCCGAGCUGAAACGCCAACUCCCACUCCCUGCUGAAUACGACAUUGUCGUUUCAAUUCAUUUCCUUCUUUUUCUCUCUCUGGCCAUCAGCGAUUCCUUUUUUUCGCACCCAUAGAUCCUUUCUUGCUUUUUCUUCUCAUCGCUAAAAUUCAUCUCCGAAUUCAAUUUUAAGUAAUAUUUUUUUUUAAUAAACAAGGAGAGCUGGAUCCAUUACAGGAACCAGCGCAGUCCUUGAAGGCAACCGCCGCGGCCAACGGCCAGAUCCGUUAUCGCUCCCCUUCCUCCGCCGAACUCUUAGAGACUGGGGCUUCCUCUGCCACUACCAGUUCUUCCGCCGCCGUCGCCAGUUCUCCCACCCAUUCCGACCACCUCCUCCACCAAUUGCCCCCCGAAAAGAUGAAGCGCCCGGUGCCUCGGCAUGAGUCUUUGUUCGAUAAGAUCCACAGGUACCGGGGUGUUCUCUUGGUCAUUUCGAUCCCGCUUCUCUUGAUUGCAUUUGUCUUGUUCGUCAUGCCAAGUCGCUCUCCAGCCGCCGUCUUGGAUGAGUACGAGGUUAAUAACAGGAAGAUGUCGCCGAAUUUGAAGGAUGCAAAUAGAUACGCGGUUAUUUUUGAUGCGGGUAGUUCAGGAAGUAGAGUGCAUGUCUAUUGUUUUGAUCGAAAUAUGGACCUUGUUCCCAUCGGCAAAGAUCUCGAGCUUUUUCUCCAGAUUAAACCAGGUUUGAGUGCAUAUGCAAGUGACCCAGAUGCUGCAGCAAGUUCUCUUCUUCCCCUGCUUGAUAAAGCAGAAAGUGUAGUACCCAAAGAGCUCCGAUCGAAAACACCUGUCAGAGUUGGGGCUACUGCAGGCUUGAGGGCAUUGGGUGGUGAGGCAUCAGAAAGAAUUUUGGAUGCGGUUAGGGAUCUUCUGAAAGAUAAGAGUACCCUGAAGUCUGAGGCAGAUGGAGUAACUGUUCUGGAUGGUUCUCAAGAAGGUUCAUAUGAAUGGGUGACAAUAAAUUACCUAUUAGGAAAAUUGAGCGGAUCAUAUUCUGAGACAGUUGGAGUGGUUGAUCUUGGUGGUGGAUCUGUUCAAAUGGCAUAUGCUAUCUCUAAGAUGGAUGCUGAAAAGGCUCCAAGGGUAUCAGAUGGAGAGGAUUCAUAUAUAAAAGAAAUGCGUCUGAUGGGUACUGACUACUACCUCUAUGUUCACAGUUACCUUCACUACGGUUUAUUAGCAGCUCGAGCAGAGAUUUUGAAGUUUUCUGAAGACUCUGAUAAUGCAUGUAUCUUGACUGGUUAUGAUGGGGUUUACAAAUAUGGAGGAGUGGAGUAUAAAACAUCAGCUGCUUCUUCUGGUUCAAGCUUUGAAGGAUGCAGGAGUCUUGCUUUGAAGGCUCUCAAAGUUAAUGAAUCAGCAUGCACGCACAUGAAAUGCACAUUUGGUGGAGUAUGGAAUGGUGGAGGUGGGGAUGGACAAAAAAAU